AUUGAACGCUGGCGGCAGGCUUAACACAUGCGAGUCGAGCGGGGUGAUGGUGCUUGCACUAUCACUUAGCGGCGGACGGGUGAGUAAUGCUUAGGAAUCUGCCUAUUAGUGGGGGACAAUAUCUCGAAAGGGAUGCUAAUACCGCAUACGUCCUACGGGAGAAAGCAGGGGAUCUUCGGACCUUGCGCUAAUAGAUGAGCCUAAGUCGGAUUAGCUAGUUGGUGGGGUAAAGGCCUACCAAGGCGACGAUCUGUAGCGGGUCUGAGAGGAUGGUCCGCCAAACGGGGACUGAGACACGGCCCAGACUCCUACGGGAGGCAGCAGUGGGGAAUAUUGGACAAUGGGGGGAACCCUGAUCCAGCCAUGCCGCGUGUGUGAAGAAGGCCUUAUGGUUGUAAAGCACUUUAAGCGAGGAGGAGGCUACUUUAGUUAAUACCUAGAGAUAGUGGACGUUACUCGCAGAAUAAGCACCGGCUAACUCUGUGCCAGCCGCCGCGGUAA
This 501-nucleotide ribosomal RNA is filed under the name uncultured bacterium. RNAcentral's name for it is "partial 16S ribosomal RNA". It matches the Rfam family "Bacterial small subunit ribosomal RNA", at positions 30 to 523 of the family's 1533-position model. The record is from RNAcentral.